This 253-nucleotide ribosomal RNA is filed under the name uncultured bacterium. RNAcentral's name for it is "partial 16S ribosomal RNA". It matches the Rfam family "Bacterial small subunit ribosomal RNA", at positions 524 to 776 of the family's 1533-position model. The record is from RNAcentral.
UACAUAGGUCUCAAGCGUUGUUCGGAUUCAUUGGGCGUAAAGGGUGCGUAGGCGGCGCGGUAAGUCGGGUGUGAAAUCUCGGAGCUUAACUCCGAAACUGCAUUCGAUACUGCCGUGCUUGAGGACUGGAGAGGAGACUGGAAUUUACGGUGUAGCGGUGAAAUGCGUAGAUAUCGUAAGGAAGACCAGUGGCGAAGGCGGGUCUCUGGACAGUUCCUGACGCUGAGGCACGAAGGCCAGGGGAGCAAACGGG